Prionailurus viverrinus (fishing cat) is the source of this 1351-nucleotide long non-coding RNA. RefSeq lists it as uncharacterized. The transcript has 6 exons. Lineage: Eukaryota; Metazoa; Chordata; Mammalia; Carnivora; Felidae. The record is from RefSeq and is a predicted model, not a curated record.
CCACGCAUGGUGGUGUCUAUGGUGACCCCGGAGUCAGCUACCAACUCAGAGCCUUCAUAAAAGCGCACUCUGCGGACAACACAGCCCAAGCCGGUCUUCAGGAACCUCAAACCCAAGUCAAGGCUGGUUUCCUGGUCAGGAGACUGCCACUGGUCUACAUAAGCUGUCGUUGCUGUCGAUCUGCACGUCUGAGGAAUGAGCAAGAGUGAGGGAGGCAGCCACUCAGCCCUCCUGUACACAGCUGGCCCCAUGAAGGGAACAGAUUAGCCAGUUAAACUGGGAUCAGAAGAAGAUCAGAGAGGCAGACCAGCCACCUGAGGAGCUGCAACGAGUGGAUUCUAUACACGUGCUCCUGAUGCCCUGGACAUACCCACUGCCAGGCCAGGAUCGCUGUUCAUAGUCUGCACAAUCUCCAUGCCCUGCAGAGAGAGUUGAAGGCCAUCUUAGAGGGUGGAGAAAGCUCAAGGAAGCCCAGAGCCUUCAGCAGCAUUGAGUACUUGGAUGUGCUGGCUCCUAGGAAGCCCUCCAGUGUUUUCCAUUCCUCUUCACAAUCCCUGGCCAGCAGACCCAAGAAGGAUCAGAUGUGCAUGCCUCAGGAAGAAUGGCAGAGAGGAGGGGGCGGCCCCUGCCUGAGAGGUACUCAGUGAUGCCAAGAUUUAGGGACACCCAUGCCUGCCUCUCCGCCCAUGUGUACAUCUUGGAAGACUGUGCGAAUGUUGAGGAAGACACCGCCAGCCUGGAAGCUGCAGCGAGCCACACGGACAUGAGGGAAGAGUGGGGAGGGCAGAAGAAGGCUAGAGUGAACCACCGUCACCAGGACUUGCCAGCUCUGCCUUGGAAGACAAAAGGGGAAGGGGCUGAUGGCGCCAGUGAGGCCCUGGGAGGCAGAGAGCAUUUAUUCUCAGGACAAGGGAGACGGUUUGAUUGAAAAGCAUGUUAGGAAAAAACAAGGUGUUUUUUUUUUAACUGUUCCUUUGGCUUCUUAAAAAUGGAAUGACAAAGAACAGUUGUACAGAGAAAUGUCAAUGGCCUUGCACUGAGAAUUCUUGAUGAGGUAGGCUCCGUGGAGAAGUCUGGCAAAUGAGCUGUCAGCCCUGCUACAGCAGCCCUUCUACCGGCCGUGACUUUUUUUUAACAGCUUUACUGAGAUGAAAUUACAUUUCAGGAAAGACACCCAUGUCACCUGUAGGGUUCAAUGAUUUUGGUCAUUAACAACCUCUUACUGCCAGCUCCAAGGGACGCUCUUCAGUGGUCCUCCUCGAUCUACUGGCCUUACCGGAUUGCUCCAUUUGGUCGGUUCUCUCCUUUUCUUGGCUCUUGCUCUUUUUCCUCGGCCCAUUUUUGAGGUUCU